Bactrocera dorsalis (oriental fruit fly) is the source of this 520-nucleotide long non-coding RNA. RefSeq lists it as uncharacterized. Lineage: Eukaryota; Metazoa; Arthropoda; Insecta; Diptera; Tephritidae. The record is from RefSeq and is a predicted model, not a curated record. The transcript is spliced from 2 exons.
GUUGUACUUCUGUGAAAAAAUAUAUCAUAUAUAUAGUAAUUUAAAAGACAUAGGGGAUGUUCGAGUCUCAAUCACUGCGGCAGUUAUUUGGUUGCUCGAACAUCCCCUUAAUAGGUUAAAUUUACCUACAUCUUCCAAAUUUGAAUAUUCGUUUUUAAUGCUGCAUUGAGUUAUUUUCUUAUCGAUAAAUAAAAAGAUACAUCGACUUUGUCGAAUAUCGAUAAAUGAGUAUUGCAACUAAUUUCAUGUGACAACAAAUACAUUUGGACAGCUUGUGAAGCAAUUAUUUGUGGGAAUUAUCCACCAGUAACGGCCUCGAAAAUAGUUGGUGAAAUGAAAAACUGAAAGUGAAAUGAAGCUAUGAGUGUGAAGCAUGGUCAAUGCCUGUACAAUCAACUUGCAUGAAUUACAUUUAGAAGCUGUAAUAUUUAUGAAAAUUUUAAAUAAAAUGUACUUUGUGAAUCAAAAAAUUAUAAUUUAAAUAAAGACAAUUUUAAGGUUUUCUUAUCCCGCUGACAAA